AUAUAAAUAAGUUAAGAAAACUAUUAGGCUCAUAACCUAAAAUUAGAAUAAUCUCUUUUAUAUA
RNAcentral lists this transfer RNA (64 nucleotides) under Eustenogaster scitula. RNAcentral's name for it is "tRNA-Met". Lineage: Eukaryota; Metazoa; Arthropoda; Insecta; Hymenoptera; Vespidae. The record is from RNAcentral.